This 406-nucleotide ribosomal RNA is filed under the name uncultured bacterium. RNAcentral's name for it is "partial 16S ribosomal RNA". It matches the Rfam family "Bacterial small subunit ribosomal RNA", at positions 30 to 526 of the family's 1533-position model. The record is from RNAcentral.
AUUGAACGCUGGCGGCAGGCCUAACACAUGCAAGUCGAACGAGUGGCGGACGGGUGAGUAAUGUCUGGGGAACUGCCUGAUGGAGGGGGAUAACUACUGGAAACGGUAGCUAAUACCGCAUACCAUCGGAUGUGCCCAUAGGGGAUUAGCUAGUAGGUGGGGUAACGGGUCACCUAGGCGACGAUCCCUAGCUGGUCUGAGAGGAUGACCAGCCAAACUGGAACUGAUACACGGUCCAGACUCCUACGGGAGGCAGCAGUGGGGAAUAUUGCACAAGGGGCGCAAGCCUGAUGCAGCCAUGCCGCGUGUAUGAAGAAGGCCUUAGGGUUGUAAAGUACUUUCAGCGAGGAGGCGUUACUCGCAGAAGAAGCACCGGCUAACUCCGUGCCAGCAGCCGCGGUAAUAC